RNAcentral lists this ribosomal RNA (613 nucleotides) under Delftia acidovorans. RNAcentral describes it as "bacterial SSU rRNA". It matches the Rfam family "Bacterial small subunit ribosomal RNA", at positions 260 to 866 of the family's 1533-position model. The record is from RNAcentral. Lineage: Bacteria; Pseudomonadati; Pseudomonadota; Betaproteobacteria; Burkholderiales; Comamonadaceae.
AAAGCUUACCAAGCCGACGAUCUGUAGCUGGUCUGAGAGGACGACCCGCCACACUGGGACUGAGACACGGCCCAGACUCCUACGGGAGGCACCACUGGGGAAUUUUGGACAAUGGGCGAAAGCCUGAUCCAGCAAUGCCGCGUGCAGGAUGAAGGCCUUCGGGGUGUAAACUGCUUUUGUAUGGAACGAAAAAGCUUCUCCUAAUACGAGAGGCCCAUGACGGUACCGUAAGAAUAAGCACCGGCUAACUACGUGCCAGCAGCCGCGGUAAUACGUAGGGUGCGAGCGUUAAUCGGAAUUACUGGGCGUAAAGCGAGCGCUGGCGGUUAUGUAAGACAGAUGUGAAAUCCCCGGGCUCAACCUGGGAACUGCAUUUGUGACUGCAUGGCUAUAGUACGGGAGAGGGUUAUGGAAUUCCGAGUGUAGCAGUGAAAUGCGUAUAUAUGCGGAGGAACACCGAUGGUGAAGGCAAUCCCCUGGACCUGUACUGACGCUCAUGCACGACAGCGUGGGGAGCACACAGGAUUAGAUACGCUGGUAGUCCACGCGCUCAUCGAUGUCAACUGGUUGUUGAGAAUUACUUGUCUCAGUAACGAAGCUAACGCGUGAAGCU